GUCGAACGAAGCAAUAGGAAGGAAGUUUUCGGAUGGAAUUCAUAUUGACUGAGCGGUGGACGGGUGAGUAACGCGUGGGUAACCUGCCUCAUACAGGGGGAUAAUAGUUAGAAAUGACUGCUAAUACCGCAUAAGCGCACAGAAUCGCAUGAUUCGGUGUGAAAAACUCCGGUGGUAUGAGAUGGACCCGCGUCUGAUUAGCUAGUUGGUGGGGUAAAGGCCUACCAAGGCGACGAUCAGUAGCCGACCUGAGAGGGUGAUCGGCCACAUUGGGACUGAGACACGGCCCAAACUCCUACGGGAGGCAGCAGUGGGGAAUAUUGCACAAUGGGGGAAACCCUGAUGCAGCAACGCCGCGUGAGUGAAGAAGUAUUUCGAUAUGUAAAGCUCUAUCAGCAGGGAAGAAGAUGACGGUACCUGAGUAAGAAGCCCCGGCUAACUACGUGCCAGCAGCCGCGGUAAUACGUAGGGGGCAAGCGUUAUCCGGAUUUACUGGGUGUAAAGGGAGCGUAGACGGCAUAGCAAGUCUGAAGUGAAAGCCCAAGGCUCAACCAUGGGACUGCUUUGGAAACUGUUAAGCUAGAGUGCUGGAGAGGUAAGCGGAAUUCCUAGUGUAGCGGUGAAAUGCGUAGAUAUUAGGAAGAACACCAGUGGCGAAGGCGGCUUACUGGACAGUAACUGACGUUGAGGCUCGAAAGCGUGGGGAGCAAACAGGAU
RNAcentral lists this ribosomal RNA (717 nucleotides) under uncultured bacterium. RNAcentral's name for it is "bacterial SSU rRNA". It matches the Rfam family "Bacterial small subunit ribosomal RNA", at positions 61 to 778 of the family's 1533-position model. The record is from RNAcentral.